UUUAUCUGAACGGGCAUUAGUUUUUGCCGGCCGAUGGCGUGCACCCACCAGUUCUCCGCGAGGUUAGAUUAUUCAUUAUAUGGAGCAAUCCUUCGCCCUUCUUCUGCUAUCCUUUUAGGUUAUACUUGCGUGUGUACGUACGUGUGCAUGGCUGUAAGUCACCGGACACUCGCUUAAUUUGGAUGAAACGACUAUUAAAACACGUUAUUGACUCAAGUUUUUAGGUUAUACGUGUGCGUGUGUACAUUGUCGUUUGUAAGUUAAUGGACAUUUGCUUCAUUUAAUGGAAAUGAUUGGCAGAACGUUGAUUCAGUUUUAAGUUGUACGUAUGUAUAUAUAAGUUGGUCACUUGCCUCCAUUUGAAUGAUUAUCGGAAUAUUGAUUCAAUUUUAGGAUACACAUUUUUAGGUUAUAUUGUCGUGUACAUGUUACUGGAUGUUUUCUCUGUUUGAACAAAAAUGAUUAUUCGGAGCAUAAGGCAAAGUGUUUUAUUAUAUAAUGAUAUUAAUGGAGGACACGCGGAAAUGUGAUUGAAAGAGAUUGAACUGUAACAUUGAAGAACAAUCGUCGCGUUAAUACUAGACGAUUAAAGUGUAAUAUUCGUAGCAGAGAGAAAUUGAAGUGCAAUAAAAGGAAAUUAUAGAUUGUGUUCUACUGUUAAGGCAAUGCUUCCUUUAUCAUAAAUUGGAAAUAUAAAAAAGAGACCAAUCGGCUACGACUUGAAAUGGCACUUGCAUAAGACUAACAGAUCUUGUAUAUCAAAAAUUGGAAAUAUACACGUAAAAGAAAUAACACUUGACACUACAACUAUCGACGACUCCAUCAGAAAAAAAGACAUUACAGUAUAAAAAGC
Long non-coding RNA from Frieseomelitta varia, 853 nucleotides. RefSeq lists it as uncharacterized. The record is from RefSeq and is a predicted model, not a curated record. Lineage: Eukaryota; Metazoa; Arthropoda; Insecta; Hymenoptera; Apidae. The transcript is spliced from 4 exons.